Molecule: ribosomal RNA, 253 nt
Filed under: uncultured bacterium
Lineage: Bacteria
Description: partial 16S ribosomal RNA
Rfam family: Bacterial small subunit ribosomal RNA
Source: RNAcentral
UACAGAGGGGGCAAGCGUUGUUCGGAAUUACUGGGCGUAAAGCGCACGUAGGCGGCUUUGUAAGUCAGGGGUGAAAUCCCGGGGCUCAACCUCGGAACUGCCUUUGAUACUGCAAAUCUCGAGUCCGGAAGAGGUGAGUGGAAUUCCUAGUGUAGAGGUGAAAUUCGUAGAUAUUAGGAAGAACACCAGUGGCGAAGGCGGCUCACUGGUCCGGUACUGACGCUGAGGUGCGAAAGCGUGGGGAGCAAACAGG